Molecule: ribosomal RNA, 498 nt
Filed under: uncultured bacterium
Lineage: Bacteria
Description: bacterial SSU rRNA
Rfam family: Bacterial small subunit ribosomal RNA
Source: RNAcentral
AGGAUGAACGCUGGCGGCGUGCUUAACACAUGCAAGUCGAACGGAGUAUCAAGAAUGAAGUUUCGGAUGGAAUUUUGAGUACUUAGUGGCGGACGGGUGAGUAACGCGUGGGUAACCUGCCUCACGACAGGGGGAUAACAGUUGGAAACGACUGUUAAUACCGCAUAAGACCACAGUACCGCAUGGGUACAGGGGGUAAAAACUCCGGUGGUAGUGAGGAUGGAACCCGCGUCUGAUUAGUUAGUUGGCGGGGUAACGGCCCACCAAGACGACGAUCAGUAGCCGAUCUGAGAGGAUGACCGGCCACAUUGGGACUGAGACACGGCCCAAACUCCUACGGGAGGCAGCAGUGGGGAAUAUUGCACAAUGGGGGAAACCCUGAUGCAGCCGACGCCGCGUGAGUGAAGAAGUAUUUCGGUAUGGUAAAGCUCUAUCAGCAGGGAAGAAAAUGACGGUACCUGAGUAAGAAGCCCCGGCUAACUACGUGCCAGCAGCUGC